RNAcentral lists this ribosomal RNA (428 nucleotides) under uncultured bacterium. RNAcentral's name for it is "bacterial SSU rRNA". It matches the Rfam family "Bacterial small subunit ribosomal RNA", at positions 355 to 775 of the family's 1533-position model. The record is from RNAcentral.
UGGGGAAUCUUGCGCAAUGCGCGAAAGCGUGACGCAGCAACGCCGCGUGGGGGAAGAAGGCUUUCGGGUUGUAAACCCCUUUCAGAUGGGACGAGGCUUCGCCGGUGAAUAGCCGGCCGGAGUGACGGUACCUUCAGAAGAAGCACCGGCUAACUACGUGCCAGCAGCCGCGGUAAUACGUAGGGUGCAAGCGUUGUCCGGAAUUAUUGGGCGUAAAGAGCGUGUAGGCGGCCCCGUUAGUCCGCUGUGAAAGUCCAGGGCUCAACCCUGGAAUGCCGGUGGAUACUGUGGGGCUAGAGUCCGGAAGGGGCGAGUGGAAUUCCUGGUGUAGCGGUGAAAUGCGCAGAUAUCAGGAGGAACACCAAUGGCGAAGGCAGCUCGCUGGGACGUGACUGACGCUGAGACGCGAAAGCGUGGGGAGCAAACAG